This 820-nucleotide ribosomal RNA is filed under the name Hypogymnia imshaugii. RNAcentral's name for it is "partial large subunit ribosomal RNA". It matches the Rfam family "Eukaryotic large subunit ribosomal RNA", at positions 92 to 930 of the family's 3401-position model. The record is from RNAcentral. Lineage: Eukaryota; Fungi; Ascomycota; Lecanoromycetes; Lecanorales; Parmeliaceae.
AGUGAAGCGGCAACAGCUCAAAUUUGAAAUCUGGCCCUUUCGGGGUCCGAGUUGUAAUUUGUAGAGAGUGUUUCGGGUGAGAUCACGGUCUAAGUCCAUUGGAACAUGGCGUCAUAGAGGGUGAGAAUCCCGUAUGUGACUGUGGAUCGAGCCCAUGUGAAGCCUCUUCGACGAGUCGAGUUGUUUGGGAAUGCAGCUCAAAAUGGGUGGUAAAUUUCAUCUAAAGCUAAAUACUGGCUGGAGACCGAUAGCGCACAAGUAGAGUGAUCGAAAGAUGAAAAGCACUUUGGAAAGAGAGUCAAACAGUACGUGAAAUUGUUGAAAGGGAAGCGCUUGCAACCAGACCUGUCCGUAGGUGAUCAGCCGCUGUUCUCAGUGGUGCACUCGCUCUGCGAUCAGGCCAGCAUCGGUUCGGGCGGUCGGAUAAAGGCCUUGGGAAUGUAGCUUCUUUCGGGAAGCCUUAUAGCCCUCGGUGCAAUGCGGCCAGCCGGGACCGAGGACCGCGCUUCGGCUAGGAUGCUGGCGUAAUGGUUGUAAGCGACCCGUCUUGAAACACGGACCAAGGAGUCUAACAUCUAUGCGAGUGUUUGGGUGUUAAACCCAUGCGCGGAAUGAAAGUGAACGGAGGUGAGAACCCUUAAGGGCGCAUCAUCGACCGAUCCAGAUGUCUUCGGAUGGAUUUGAGUAUGAGCAUAGCUGUUGGGACCCGAAAGAUGGUGAACUAUGCCUGAAUAGGGUGAAGCCAGAGGAAACUCUGGUGGAGGCUCGCAGCGGUUCUGACGUGCAAAUCGAUCGUCAAAUUUGGGUAUAGGGCGAAAGA